GCCUGGUCAGCUCAGUUGGUAGAACGCUCCACUGGGAAUGGAGAGAGGUCCCGGGUUCGAUACCCGUACCAGGCA
Molecule: non-coding RNA, 75 nt
Organism: Ixodes scapularis (black-legged tick)
Lineage: Eukaryota; Metazoa; Arthropoda; Arachnida; Ixodida; Ixodidae
Source: the annotation of a RefSeq genome assembly